AAAUGCGAUAAGUAAUGUGAAUUGCAGAAUUCAGUGAAUCAUCGAAUCUUUGAACGCACCUUGCGCUCCUUGGUAUUCCUUGGAGCAUGCCUGUUUGAGUAUCAUGAAAUCUUCAAAGUAAAUCUUUUGUUAACUCAAUUGGUUUCUACUUUGGUAUUGGAGGUCUUUGCAGCUUCACACCUGCUCCUCUUUGUUCAUUAGCUGGAUCUCAGUGUUAUGCUUGGUACCACUCGGCGUGAUAAGUUAUCUAUCGCUGAGGACACUGUAAAAGGUGGCCAAGGUAAAUGCAGAUGAACCGCUUCUAAUAGUCCAUUGACUUGGACAAUACUUUUAUGAUCUGAUCUCAAAUCAGGUAGGACUACCCGCUGAACUUAAGC
This 377-nucleotide unclassified non-coding RNA is filed under the name plant metagenome. Its description in RNAcentral is "partial contains 5.8S ribosomal RNA, internal transcribed spacer 2, and large subunit ribosomal RNA". The stretch from base 1 to 104 matches the Rfam family "5.8S ribosomal RNA", at positions 51 to 154 of the family's 154-position model. The record is from RNAcentral.